GACGAACCGAGCGAACGUUGUUCGGAAUUACUGGGCGUAAAGGGCGCGUAGGCGGCCUGUUAAGUCGAACGUGAAAUCCCCGGGCUCAACCCGGGAACUGCGUCCGAUACUGGCAGGCUUGAAUCCGGGAGAGGGAUGUGGAAUUCCAGGUGUAGCGGUGAAAUGCGUAGAUAUCUGGAGGAACAUCAGUGGCGAAGGCGGCUACCUGGCCCAAUACUGACACUCAGGUGCGACAGCGUGGGGAGCAAACAGG
This 253-nucleotide ribosomal RNA is filed under the name uncultured bacterium. RNAcentral's name for it is "partial 16S ribosomal RNA". It matches the Rfam family "Bacterial small subunit ribosomal RNA", at positions 524 to 776 of the family's 1533-position model. The record is from RNAcentral.